GCCGGGCAUGGUGGCUCACAGCUACCGUCCCAGCUACUCAGGGGGCUGAGGUGGGAGGAUCGCUUAAGCCCAAGAGUUCUGGGUUGCAGUAUACUAUGCAGAUAGAUCAGGUGUUUGCAUGAAGUUUGGCAUCAAUAUGGUGAUCUCCUGGGAGUGGGGGACCACCAGGUUGCCUAAGGAGCGGCAAACUGACUUAAGUUGGAAAUGGAGCAGGACAGAACUCCUAUGCUGAUCAUAGGAGUUUUGUCCUGCUCCCAGUAUGCUUCAGUAAUCUCCUAACUGC
This 283-nucleotide signal recognition particle RNA is filed under the name Saimiri boliviensis boliviensis (Bolivian squirrel monkey). RNAcentral describes it as "Metazoan signal recognition particle RNA (ENSSBOG00000008549.1)". It matches the Rfam family "Metazoan signal recognition particle RNA". From Rfam's summary of the family: The signal recognition particle (SRP) is a universally conserved ribonucleoprotein. It is involved in the co-translational targeting of proteins to membranes. The record is from RNAcentral. Lineage: Eukaryota; Metazoa; Chordata; Mammalia; Primates; Cebidae.